UCCGAGGUUUGGCUGGUUAGCCUCGACAGUUAGCCCCUGCUGGUAGAUGUCGUAAGUGCACCGUCACGGGGGCGAUAAGAAACCACCGACGCCAUUCAGAACUAGCCGUUUAUUCUGACAAAAUAAAUCGAUAGCGUGCAGUCAUAUUGUGGUAAAUGUUUUGCCACAGCCACCGACUGAUUUUAAAGUAACUUUUUUUUUCUCCGUCAGCACUGCGAUUCUGCAGGACCUUUUCAUCAAUGGAAAUCCAUUUUCUAGUCAUUCAGUCUCGCAUAUAAACAUUUUUCUUAUCGGUAUAUGUUAUGGCCGGGGCAGCCAGCCGCGCGUGGACGAAUACGUUUCCUAAUUGUCGUUUUGUAUUCAUUUCCAGUCUGGAGUUCACCUGUUUAGUUUUUAUUCGGAGCGAGAAGCAUCGAAGCCGAAAUUCCACUGUUGUUGUACUCGAAAAAGGUUCGGGCCGUUGCACGCAGUUGGCAUAUUGGAACAAAGAAACACUAAUUAAAUGGUUCAAAAUGAGGACUCAAUAGCAACGUGACAACUGACAACUAGUCCCCGCUGCCACCGAGACGAAAUUAGAUGAGUUCUCCCCAUCCAUUGUCUAUCAGCCUGCACCACAUUUCACAUUUUCUAAAGUGUCUAAUUUCACCUUUUUCUAAUUAUCCAAUCCGGGGGGAAAUACGCUAAAAGCUGACUUGUCCUGCGUCAGCACUGGCUGCAGACUGUUGUGAAUACCACGUAAGGUAUCACUAUGGUUUCAGAGCCACGGUGAGGACUGAAUAAUUAAUAGAAGCCUUCUCAUUGACAGAAGUACUUCGGGAGCCAUUAGCUCAGGUACCUGACCAGCGCGGGCAUAUUAGUGAGAAAGAAGUGAUUCUGGAGAGAUUGAUUUCCCCACAAACUGACUGAUCAGAAGUCUGUGCGUUAAAGGAACAGCUUAGCCCAAAUGUAUUUAUUUUUUUUAAUCCUCAGGCCAUCCAAAAUGUAGAUGUGACUGUUUUCGCGUUGGCGCAGGUUUGGAGAAAUACAUCCUCUGCCAUCUCAGUGAAAGUCCAAACAGCUGAUAAAAGAACAAUAACCCAUAACCAGUUCAUCAAUUAACAUCUUGUCAAUUAAAAAAAAAAAUCUAUAAUCCAAAUAAAAUUGCUUGCUCCGUUAAAAAAAACUGAAUCAGGAGAGAAAUAUACGUGAAAACAAAUAUGUUGGUCGAUUCUGAUGUGAGAGGAGAACGGGGAUGGAUUUUUUUUUUCACCGGAGAAAGCAUUAUUAUGGAUUAUGGACUUGUAUUUUAGCCAGAAGCAAUGGUUACAAUUAAAACUCCUUAAUGUGGAUUUGUAUACAAACACAUGGCUUUCUGCUUAACAAGGCCCACAAUAGGCUUUUAUGUUAAAAACUUAGUGAACCUUUGAGUAACUUGGCAUGCCUUGGCACAUUGUUCUACUUCACAUGUGUUGUCGAGAGACGCUAAACCUAAUGAGCUGCCUCGCUGCCUACAUAAGCAGCUACUUUUUAAGGCAGCAUCCUAACCGAAAGGAAAAUUGACUUUCUUAAUGGAUGUUCUGAGCGUAAUUGUGAACGAUUAACUGUUGCGUGUGUUUGCGAUGCGUAAUCAAAAUAUAAUAACCCGCUCGUCGCGCGACUAGCGAUCUGCGCGGGAGACUUGACUUAUUUAUCGUCAUUAAACCGCAUCUAUAUUUGCACAUUGCGCUCGUUCAAUGCCAAGCGGUUGGCAUUCGAGGUUGUUUUCCAUGUGCGUUCCCUGGAUUCGAACCCGUGACCUUGGUAUAUCUGGAGCCAUGCUAAGUUAAUCUACUGUUCUAAAAUAAACCUACUUCAAAAGGCCUUUAGAAAUAAAAGCUUUCAGAGGGUUCAACGGACGGGCACAUCAAUUCUAAGCAUGUAAAACUGAAUAGGGCGCUUUUAAAUGAAAUGCGCCAAUUGUUGAUUCCAAUAGAGUUUGAUUUUAACAUGUUGAUAAGCUACUUCUGUAGUGAAUAAAAUCGGUGAUUUGCAGAGCGCCAUAGAACAAAAUGCACAAUGGCAUUUAAUGAAACUGGAAUGAAACAAAUAAAUCAGGUUAUCGACUGAAUAACGCAUCGCAUUUCUAAGAGAUGUACAGAACCAUUAAAAACACUCUUAACAGAAUACUGGAUGUCAGCAAAGGUUUACACAAGUGUAAAAAAACGUACAUUCCUGAUAAUGGUUAACUUUACCAGGAAAUGAUCUUUGCAGUCACUUCAAUCAUGUUCAAAUUAGUCUCAAUUUUUCCGCUUGCACAUGUUAAUAAAUGACUUCAAGUCAGAGUCAGAAUCUCCAAUCGAGCCCCUAACAGCCUAUGCACUUUGAUACAAUAUUCCAGUUUAUAUCCGCUACUUAGAAAACCCAUAUAUACAAAAUUGAAACAUCUAACCUGUGUAAAUUAGUAUCAAAGAUGAAUAAUUUUUAAUGCACUGUGGGGAAAAAAAAAAAAGAUAGAACGUUCACUCAAAAUGUUUUUUUGAAUCCCACUGUGCUGUUUUUCUUUUGAUUUCUUAUGGAAACGUGGGCUGGAUGGAUGUGCUUGAUCAUUGCUUUCGUAACUCUUGUAGCGUCUCACACAACACAGUGUAACAAAAAUGUGACAUCAUAUUAAAAUAUGUUUUAUAAACUUUUAUCAUUUCUAGACCUUGCAUCAUUCCUCAUUGAUGGACGCUGCUGUGGUUUAGAUCAAAAAUGCAUAAAUAAAUCAGCACAUACCAAACGAUCUGUAAGAAGGGACAAAGCGAUAGUGACUAACAAAACAGUUACAUUUGUUUUGCGACGUGACCGUCUUAUUGGAUCUAAUAAUAAAGUCUACGAUUAAAGCCUUUGUGAAAAUUGACUUGUGCCUUGUUCAUAAACAAGUCCACUGUAAAAUGGAGUGAACGAAAGACCUAGUUCUUACUGGCGUGGUCUGGUUCUUCAUUAAAAAAAGUAAAUUCGCUCUUUCCUAAAGCAAUGCAAACACAGCUAUUCCACAACUUGGUUCUGCAUAGCGUGUUGUUGUCUUCUGAGCCAUCUUUAUCAUUUGAUUUUUGUGUAGACCUGUGUACACCUCUCUCGUAAACACUACAUGCGUUAAUCGGUGGGCGGAGCUCAACAGGCAGCGCUGUAGAAGCAGGCGUUGAUCUUCUUCUGUGGAGACGGUGCCUGUCCACUCUAUUACAUUAUAGAGUAGAACAUUCCAAAAGCUGUUGUUUUGGAGCUUCAAAACGAGCUGUUUUCAGACUAACAACUAAGGUCUCAAUACUGAAACUUGCAGGAUGUUUUUAUAGCGCAAUAUAUGUCUUAUAUGUCAAAAGAUCAAGGGGAUUUUGGUUUCUCAGUUCGAGGCUCCUUUAAAGGAAGUCCACCAAAAUUGAAAAUGAAUCUGAACAGAUCUGGAGAAAUGCAGCAUUAUAUCACUUGCUCCAGUCUAUCGAUAAACAUAUUGUGAAGUGAAAAAAAAAAUGCAUUUGUAAGAAACAAACCCACCAUUAAGAUGUUUUUCAACUAUGAACCUUUGUUUCCAGCUAAAACUUGAAUCUUCUAUUCAUGAUCCUCUAUUCAUGCUUUCUCCAUCUAUAUCUUGGAUGGCCUUAGGGUGAGUACAUGCUCAGCACUUUUUAUUUUUGGGCGAACUAUCAAAUCGGGUUAAAAAAGUUUCCCUGAGUAAUUUUUUUUCUCAAUGCAGAAAGACAGAGAAGAAGAAUGCAAUCGAAUAACACCAGAUUUUAUCAGUCAUGAAUUGCGCUACUUUUAAAAGUAACCUCUCAAGCUAUAUUGACUCCGCUUUAAAAAAACGUCCACAAAGAAUAACCACUGAAUAAAAUGUUAAGCUAA
Long non-coding RNA from Puntigrus tetrazona (Sumatra barb), 3837 nucleotides. RefSeq lists it as uncharacterized. NCBI's taxonomy places the organism in Eukaryota, Metazoa, Chordata, Actinopteri, Cypriniformes, Cyprinidae. The record is from RefSeq and is a predicted model, not a curated record. The transcript has 2 exons.